RNAcentral lists this long non-coding RNA (311 nucleotides) under Nicotiana benthamiana. Its description in RNAcentral is "long non-coding RNA (NBEN_LNC031483)". The record is from RNAcentral. Lineage: Eukaryota; Viridiplantae; Streptophyta; Magnoliopsida; Solanales; Solanaceae.
CAAGUCAAAACCACCGAAAACCCUAGAUACCGAUAACUCACCAAAAUCACCCAAAACCGACAGAGAUUCUUAGAACGUUGAGGUCACGAAGAUACACCCGGAUAUCAUGGUGUAAAACACUCUGAACCAUGUCCAAUCAAAGUCGGAAGCAUCAUCGACCGGUCGGUCUCAGAUAAAUCCUCAAAAAAAACCGUCAAACAAACGCUCAAAAGAGACACCGAUAUGCAAAUAAACAUGAUCGGAUCGUUGUAAGGCUCUGAUACCAUGUCAAUAUUCAGAUUAACCGAGAAAAUCACAGAGAAUCUAGAGAG